This 99-nucleotide small nuclear RNA is filed under the name Meriones unguiculatus (Mongolian gerbil). The record is from RNAcentral. Lineage: Eukaryota; Metazoa; Chordata; Mammalia; Rodentia; Muridae.
GUAUGACUUCUGUAGCACAUAUACUACAAUCGGAGAAAUGCAGAGAUUAGCAUGACCCCUGUGCAAAUAUACCAACCUCAUGAAGUGUUGUAUAUUUUU